This 674-nucleotide long non-coding RNA is filed under the name Calidris pugnax (ruff). RNAcentral describes it as "lncRNA (ENSCPUG00000007292.1)". The record is from RNAcentral. Lineage: Eukaryota; Metazoa; Chordata; Aves; Charadriiformes; Scolopacidae.
GUUGCUGCUUGUACAAAGUUGUUAUUGCUAUCUGUUAAAUAAUUUGUCUGUGUAAUGGUUCUUGUCAUAAACUAAGUCAUAAUCCCACUUGUGUUCUAGUUCCCAUGGACACCAGUGACAACGGGGGAAGCUCUUCUGGCCUGUGCUGCUGUCCCUACAGCCACUCCUGGAGGUGCACCAGAAGAGCUGUUUGCAGGGCAGCCUGAGGAAUCAGACACAGGACCUGGGGAGAACCAGAAAUAAUCUCUCCUUUCUAAGGUUUUGGUGACUUCUGGCAUGGUGGAGAUGUGAUGGAGACUCAAACAUGACCACAGCAGAGAAGGACCUGGGCUGGGAUUCUGGCUCUGACCUCAGCUUCUCCAUGUUUCAUUUCACACAUCUGAGAAAUGUCUCCUUACUAAAGUCACAUUAUCUACAAAGCAAGGUGUCGGCUGAGAUAAGUAGAACUGGAAGAAAAUGGUUCUGGUUGUCUAAGGUGCUCUGCAAUAUUUGCAAUCUGUGGAUAAGCAGCAAUCAGCAAAACUCACAAUAAGCGGUAAGUGCUCUAAAUGUCAUAAUGAGCUCAGUCAUUGAAAUCUGAACGCCAUUUAUGUUGCCCUUUGAUAAUAAUUUGUGAUUGCCACUCAAGAAGGCAAUCAUGUAUCCAGUACAGCUGAAAAUUAGAUGCAUAACCC